GAAAAAGUAUGCAAGAACUGCUAAUUCAUGCCCCCAUGCCUAAUAACAUGGCUUUUUCA
RNAcentral lists this transfer RNA (59 nucleotides) under Rhynchogale melleri (Meller's mongoose). RNAcentral describes it as "tRNA-Ser". Lineage: Eukaryota; Metazoa; Chordata; Mammalia; Carnivora; Herpestidae. The record is from RNAcentral.